AGGAUGGACAUUUCUGCAUGCCCUGAUUAUCUACUAAAUUUUAUCCAUAUCCUAGGAGUAAUAUUUUCUAGUAACUUCAUGUAGCUAAAUUGACAGACAGGAGAUGGUGUAGAGUGCUCAUUCCAGCAGCGCAUAUACCAAAAUUGGAACUACACAGAGAUGUCUAGUAAGGCUAUCCUCUGGUCUUUAGACUUACAAUAAUGGCUCUAAAAUGUCCCUAAAGUAUUUAAAGCACUCAAUGCAUUUCUCCAGUUACUUCCUUUUUUUUUUUUUUUAAGAAAAACUAAGACAAGGAGA
Molecule: long non-coding RNA, 297 nt
Organism: Ochotona curzoniae (black-lipped pika)
Lineage: Eukaryota; Metazoa; Chordata; Mammalia; Lagomorpha; Ochotonidae
Exons: 3
Source: RefSeq, a predicted model, not a curated record